CACUGAUGUGAUGAUUUUUUUUUUCCGGAAAUUAUGAUGUCGACUUAAUAAAUCAGACUACAAUUAUCUGAUCUCUG
Molecule: small nucleolar RNA, 77 nt
Organism: Mangifera indica (mango)
Lineage: Eukaryota; Viridiplantae; Streptophyta; Magnoliopsida; Sapindales; Anacardiaceae
Product: small nucleolar RNA Z155
Exons: 1
Source: RefSeq, a predicted model, not a curated record